RNAcentral lists this ribosomal RNA (201 nucleotides) under Exophiala pisciphila. RNAcentral describes it as "partial large subunit ribosomal RNA". It matches the Rfam family "Eukaryotic large subunit ribosomal RNA", at positions 82 to 279 of the family's 3401-position model. Lineage: Eukaryota; Fungi; Ascomycota; Eurotiomycetes; Chaetothyriales; Herpotrichiellaceae. The record is from RNAcentral.
AGUAACGGCGAGUGAAGCGGCAACAGCUCAAAUUUGAAAUCUGGCCUCUUUUGGGGUCCGAGUUGUAAUUUGUAGAGGAUGUUUCGGGUACCGCUCCGGUUUAAAUUUCUUGGAACAGAAUGUCAGAGAGGGUGAGAAUCCCGUCUUGGACCGGCGGUAGGGCCCAUGUGAAACUCCUUCGACGAGUCGAGUUGUUUGGGA